Molecule: ribosomal RNA, 433 nt
Filed under: uncultured bacterium
Lineage: Bacteria
Description: partial 16S ribosomal RNA
Rfam family: Bacterial small subunit ribosomal RNA
Source: RNAcentral
AGCGAACGCUGGCGGCAGGCUUAACACAUGCAAGUCGAGCGGGCCUUUCGGGGUCAGCGGCGGACGGAUGAGUAACGCGUGGGAACGUGCCCUCUGGUUCGGAAUAACUCAGGGAAACUUGAGCUAAUACCGGAUACGCCCUUUUGGGGAAAGGCUUGCUGCCGGAGGAUCGGCCCGCGUCUGAUUAGCUAGUUGGUGAGGUAACGGCUCACCAAGGCGACGAUCAGUAGCUGGUCUGAGAGGAUGAUCAGCCACACUGGGACUGAGACACGGCCCAGACUCCUACGGGAGGCAGCAGUGGGGAAUAUUGGACAAUGGGCGCAAGCCUGAUCCAGCCAUGCCGCGUGAGUGAUGAAGGCCUUAGGGUUGUAAAGCUCUUUUAUCCGGGACGAUAAUGACGGUACCGGAGGAAUAAGCCCCGGCUAACUUCGUG